GAUGAACGCUGGCGGCGUGCUUAACACAUGCAAGUCGAACGGGAUCCAAGGGGUGCUUGCACUUUUUGGUGAGAGUGGCGAACGGGUGAGUAACACGUGAGUAACCUGUCCUUUUCUUUGGGAUAAGCAUUCGAAAGGGUGUUUAAUACCUUAUGUUCUGUCUGCCUCGCAUGGGGUGGGUGGGAAAGGCUUUGGCCGGAUUUGGGUGGGCUCGCGGUCUAUCAGCUUAUUGGUGGGGUGAUGGCUUACCAAGGCUUUGACGGGUAGCCGGCCUGAGAGGGUGGUCGGUCACAUUGGGACUGAGAUACGGCCCAGACUCCUGCGGGAGGCAGCAGUGGGGGAUAUUGCACAAUGGGCGAAAGCCUGAUGCAGCGACGCCGCGUGGGGGAUGAAGGCCUUCGGGUUGUAAACUUCUUUUGCUCUGAACAAGGCAUGCCAGUGGGUGUGUUGAGUGUAGGGGUUGAUUAGCGCCGGCUAACUACGUG
RNAcentral lists this ribosomal RNA (485 nucleotides) under uncultured bacterium. RNAcentral's name for it is "partial 16S ribosomal RNA". It matches the Rfam family "Bacterial small subunit ribosomal RNA", at positions 28 to 507 of the family's 1533-position model. The record is from RNAcentral.